GAUGAACGCUGGCGGCGUGCCUAAUACAUGCAAGUCGAGCGAACAGACGAGGAGCUUGCUCCUCUGACGUUAGCGGCGGACGGGUGAGUAACACGUGGAUAACCUACCUAUAAGACUGGGAUAACUUCGGGAAACCGGAGCUAAUACCGGAUAAUAUAUUGAACCGCAUGGUUCAAUAGUGAAAGACGGUUUUGCUGUCACUUAUAGAUGGAUCCGCGCGGCAUUACCUAGUUGUUAAGGUAACGGCUUACCAAGGCAAGGAUGAGUAGCCGACCUGAGGGGGUGACCGGCAACACUGGAACGGAGACACGGUCCAGACCCCUAGGGGAGGCAGCAGUAGGGAAUCUUCGGCAAUGGGCGAAAGCCUGACGGAGCAACGCCGCGUGAGUGAUGAAGGUCUUCGGAUCGUAAAACUCUGUUAUUAGGGAAGAACAAAUGUGUAAGUAACUAUGCACGUCUUGACGGUACCUAAUCAGAAAGCCACGGCUAACUACGUG
Molecule: ribosomal RNA, 497 nt
Filed under: uncultured bacterium
Lineage: Bacteria
Description: partial 16S ribosomal RNA
Rfam family: Bacterial small subunit ribosomal RNA
Source: RNAcentral